Molecule: ribosomal RNA, 254 nt
Filed under: uncultured bacterium
Lineage: Bacteria
Description: partial 16S ribosomal RNA
Rfam family: Bacterial small subunit ribosomal RNA
Source: RNAcentral
UACGUAGGGGGCAAGCGUUACUCGGAUUCACUGGGCGUAAAGCGCGUGUAGGCGGCUGGUCAAGCGUGGUGUGAAAUCUCCGGGCUCAACCCGGAAACUGCACCGCGAACUGGCCUGGCUGGAGUGCAGGAGAGGGAAGGGGAAUUCCCGGUGUAGCAGUGAAAUGCGUAGAGAUCGGGAGGAACAUCUGUGGCGAAGGCGACUGCCUGGACCAGCACUGACACUGAGGCACGAAAGCGUGGGGAGCAAACAGG